RNAcentral lists this microRNA (23 nucleotides) under Limulus polyphemus (Atlantic horseshoe crab). RNAcentral also lists the same sequence under 1 other name. The record is from RNAcentral. Lineage: Eukaryota; Metazoa; Arthropoda; Merostomata; Xiphosura; Limulidae.
UGAGAUCAUUGUGAAAGCCGAUU